CACGUAGGGCGCGAGCGUUGUCCGGAAUUAUUGGGCGUAAAGAGCUCGUAGGCGGCCUGUUGCGUCCGCUGUGAAAGCCCGGGGCUUAACCCCGGGUCGGCAGUGGAUACGGGCAGGCUAGAGGUAGGUAGGGGAGAAUGGAAUUCCCGGUGUAGCGGUGAAAUGCGCAGAUAUCGGGAGGAACACCAGUGGCGAAGGCGAGUCCCUGGACAACACCUGACACUGAGGCACGAAAGCUAGGGGAGCAAACAGG
This 253-nucleotide ribosomal RNA is filed under the name uncultured bacterium. Its description in RNAcentral is "partial 16S ribosomal RNA". It matches the Rfam family "Bacterial small subunit ribosomal RNA", at positions 524 to 776 of the family's 1533-position model. The record is from RNAcentral.